Molecule: ribosomal RNA, 504 nt
Filed under: uncultured bacterium
Lineage: Bacteria
Description: partial 16S ribosomal RNA
Rfam family: Bacterial small subunit ribosomal RNA
Source: RNAcentral
AUUGAACGCUGGCGGCAGGCUUAACACAUGCAAGUCGAGCGGGGUGAUGGUGCUUGCACUAUCACUUAGCGGCGGACGGGUGAGUAAUGCUUAGGAAUCUGUCUAUUAGUGGGGGACAACAUCUCGAAAGGGAUGCUAAUACCGCGUACGUCCUACGGGAGAAAGCAGGGGAUCACUUGUGACCUUGCGCUAAUAGAUGAGCCUAAGUCGGAUUAGCUAGUUGGGGGGGUAAAGGCCUACCAAGGCGACGAUCUGUAGCGGGUCUGAGAGGAUGAUCGGCCACACUGGGACUGAGACACGGCCCAGACUCCUACGGGAGGCAGCAGUGGGGAAUAUUGGACAAUGGGGGGAACCCUGAUCCAGCCAUGCCGCGUGUGUGAAGAAGGCCUUAUGGUUGUAAAGCACUUUAAGCGAGGAGGAGGCUCUUUUGGUUAAUACCCAAGAUGAGUGGACGUUACUCGCAGAAUAAGCACCGGCUAACUCUGUGCCAGCAGCCGCCCGUAA